Molecule: ribosomal RNA, 253 nt
Filed under: uncultured bacterium
Lineage: Bacteria
Description: partial 16S ribosomal RNA
Rfam family: Bacterial small subunit ribosomal RNA
Source: RNAcentral
UACAGGGGAGGCAAGCGUUGUUCGGAAUUACUGGGCGUAAAGGGCUCGUAGGCGGCCAACUAAGUCCGACGUGAAAUCCCCAAGCUUAACUUGGGAACUGCGUCGGAUACUGGAUGGCUUGAGUAUGGGAGAGGGAUGUAGAAUUCCAGGUGUAGCGGUGAAAUGCGUAGAUAUCUGGAGGAAUACCGGUGGCGAAGGCGGCAUCCUGGACCAUUACUGACGCUGAGGCGCGAAAGCUAGGGGAGCAAACGGG